This 24-nucleotide non-coding RNA is filed under the name Cricetulus griseus (Chinese hamster). The record is from RNAcentral. Lineage: Eukaryota; Metazoa; Chordata; Mammalia; Rodentia; Cricetidae.
CCUGUAAUCUUGACCCCAGCAUAC